Etheostoma spectabile (orangethroat darter) is the source of this 380-nucleotide long non-coding RNA. RefSeq lists it as uncharacterized. Lineage: Eukaryota; Metazoa; Chordata; Actinopteri; Perciformes; Percidae. The transcript is spliced from 3 exons. The record is from RefSeq and is a predicted model, not a curated record.
AGAGAGGCUCCAACAUUCUGGUUGAGAGUGGUCAACAGAACCAAGGCCAGCUGGAUCUCCUCCAUGGCCAGCUCUGCAGGCACUCCUUUGUACAGGGUUGGAAAUCAAGAUGGAAAAUUCCACAUGAGUACCAACAUCUCCACUCUCUUUCUCCAAAUCAAACGAGUGGAUGUAUUUGACUCUGGACUGUAUUUAUGUGGAUUUUACAUCGGAGGACGUUUAAUUCAGCACAAUACACUUCAAUGUUAAAGGUAGCGAUAAAUCUCAUGAUGAUGACGACAGGAAGUCUGAAAAGUGUGAUGGAACAGUAACGCUGAUGAGUUUGGUCCUGGGCGCUCUGACUGGUCUCCUCUUCAUGAUCAUCAUCGGUCUGGUUGUUA